UGGUGAAUUACUGGGCAUUUACUCCUUUGGCAGGUGGCUUACAACCGCAAAUACUUUCAAUGGGAGUGGAUACAAUAUAAGCUCACUGCCAAAGGAGAUUUGCCCGGCAAUUCACCG
This is a non-coding RNA of Eucalyptus grandis, 117 nucleotides long. Lineage: Eukaryota; Viridiplantae; Streptophyta; Magnoliopsida; Myrtales; Myrtaceae. The record is from Rfam.